Long non-coding RNA from Drosophila navojoa, 436 nucleotides. The record is from RefSeq and is a predicted model, not a curated record. Lineage: Eukaryota; Metazoa; Arthropoda; Insecta; Diptera; Drosophilidae.
CUUCGUUGUUGUUGUUGUUGCUGCUGCUGCUGUUUGUUGUUGUUGUUGCUGCUGUUAGCCUUUUGCCUUUAGUGUUGUGGGCGUGUUCACUGUUGAACGUUCUGUCGGCGUCAUCGGCAGCGGCAACAUUUCUGUGUUCUUCACGUGUUUCAUUUUUUCUUUAGCUGCAGCCGCUUUCAAGUUGAAUUCUCGUUGCUGUUGUUGUUGUUGCUCCGACAUGUGAGAAUUUGCCGUAAAUCAACCUGUUGCAUGUUGUUGUUGUUGUUGUUGUUAUUGCCAGUCGCCUGUUGCCUGUUGCCGCACACAGUUUUCGGCGUCAGCCACUUGGCUUAUGAAGUGCCACAGAGAAACAGGUUAAUCGAUUUUAAAUCGGUUUUGAUGUUGUUUUGAUCGCUGCCUCUUGCAAGUGUCUGUGUAUUCGUGUGUAUUUUCUAUG